Molecule: antisense RNA, 69 nt
Filed under: Kibdelosporangium aridum
Lineage: Bacteria; Bacillati; Actinomycetota; Actinomycetes; Pseudonocardiales; Pseudonocardiaceae
Description: ASpks TB sRNA
Rfam family: ASpks TB sRNA
Source: Rfam by way of RNAcentral
CUUCACCGAACCCAACCACAACGGCCGAUCCCGGUCCUGGCCGUAGGUCGCCAGCAACGCCUGCGCCUC